RNAcentral lists this long non-coding RNA (3398 nucleotides) under Capsella rubella. RNAcentral's name for it is "long non-coding RNA (CRUB_LNC002940)". The record is from RNAcentral. Lineage: Eukaryota; Viridiplantae; Streptophyta; Magnoliopsida; Brassicales; Brassicaceae.
AUUGAUCACUUGCUUUCUCUCCAAGAAACUCAGCCUGAUUAUUAUACAGACGUCACUCUUAAAGGAAUCAUAGUUGUAAGUAUUGACUAAGCCUAAUAUUAUAUAAUCAAGCUUUAUAGUGUGGCUGAGAAUGAAUUUGAAUGUUACAGGUUAUGAUAAUUGCUGGAUCUGAGACUAUAGCAUGGACUUUAGAAUGGGCGAUGAUGAAUUUGUUGAACCAUCCAGAAGUAUUAAAGAAAGCUAGGACCGAAAUCGAUUCGAAAAUCGGUUUCGACCGGUUAAUAGAUGAAUCGGAUACUACAAAUCUCCCUUAUCUCCAACGUAUCGUGUUGGAGACUCUACGUCUUCACCCGGCAGCUCCAACAAAUGUUCCACAUAUGACCUCAGAUGAUUGCAAGUUGGGAGGAUACGUUUGUUCGGAUUCUUUUCUUUUUCGAAUGAGGCUAGUGGAGACAAAUUCCUUCCGACGUUCCACGUGGUACGAUGUUAUUGGUGAACAUAUGGGCCAUACAUAGAGACCCGUCUAUAUGGGAAGAUCCAGAUAUGUUCAAGCCAGAGAGGUUUGAAAAUGAAAAGCAAAAGCAAAAGUUGUUGUCGUUUGGGAUUGGAAGACGAUCUUGUCCCGGGAAUGGCCUAGCUCAUCGGCUAGUGAGCUUGGCUCUUGGAUCGAUGGUUCAGUGUUUCGAAUGGCAGAGAAUUGGGGAUGAAUAUGUUGACAUUAGAGAAGAAGAAGUCGUGGCCUUGAUGCGUCCAGCGACACCGUUGCUAGCUAUGUGUAAAGCUCGUCCCUUUGUCCAUAAGAUUCUUGAUGCUUAAGUGUAACUUGCCUUUAUUUGUCCUUUGGGAAAAUUAAAAACGAGACAAGACUGUCGUGUACUUUAAAGUUUCAUAUGUACUCUUACAUGUGUUAACACAUGGUUUUUAAGGAUAAGUUCUUUCUUUGGAACACAAUUCUCAUUUUUUGGUGUCAAAUCACAAUACUCGAGUUUUAGAUUGCCGACAUUGUUUUCGUCGACUGGUUAACAUGGCAUCAGAACCAACGAAAUCAAAUAAACCAGAGUCAGUAAACAUAGUUAGCGAGAUCUGGUGUUUGUAGUGAUGGUGCAUGGUUGGUGACAGUGGGUGGUUUGGUGUUAAAGACAGUGAUGAUGGGUCAUUUACUUAACAAAUAACAACAGAGAAGAAAAAAUAGUUAAGUUAUUCAAGUCAUUUUGCAUGUCUCUCCAUUGGUACAAUAUUGGAAGGUCAUUUAUGUACUAUAAUUUAAUUUUUAUUUCAAGGUUAUUUUGUGUAUCUAUUCUAAUUAUUUAUGUUGAUUUGUAUACUACACGUGUUUGGUUGCAUGAGACGUGAACAUAUCUUUAGUGACUGAUGGGAUAAAUUCCAUGACAAUACCAAACUUUUAACGUCUUUUUUGCAUGCUCUUGUUUACGUUAUAAAUUUAAGCUAUAAACUUAAACUUUUAACUUUAGUGUUCAUUUCAACACAAAACAAAAUUCGUAGUUAUAUCCGUUACUCUAUCUCUGGCUAUAUUGAUUUAUUAUUAAUGUUGAUAUAUUACACUUGUUUGGUUGCAUGAGACGUGAACAUAUCUUUAGUGACGGAUGGGAUAAAUUCCAUGAAAAUGCCAAAAUUUGAACGUCUUUUUUGCAUGAUCUUGUUUACGUUAUAAACUUUAGCUAUAGCUUUUUGAACUUUAGUGUUCAUUUCAACACAAAACAAAUUCGUAGUUAGAUCCGUUACUCUAUAGCUGGCUAUGUUUAUAAUUUCCAUGCAUGUGACAGUACCAAAAUUGUAACGUCUUUUUUUUUUUUUGCAUGCUCUCUCUUAUAUUAUAAACUAAGCUAUAUAUAUAACUUUUUUUUUAACUUUAGUGUUUAUUUCAACACAAACAAAUUCGUAGUUAGAUCAUUUACUCAAUAUAUAGUUAGCUAUAUAAUUUAUUAUUAAUGUUGAUAUCUUACACUUGUUUGGUUGCAUGAGACGAGAACAUAUCUUUAGUGACGGAUGGGAUAAAUUCCAUGAGUCAUGCUUUAAUCAUGGACCAUGAUAAUAUCUUGAAUCAUGGAUGGAUGGACCAUGACAAUACCAAAACUGUAACGUCUUUUUUAUGCAUGUUCUUGCUUACGUUAUAAAUUAAGCUGUAACUUUUAACUCCAGGAUUCAUUUCACACAUAUUCGUCAUGGAAACUCAUUUCCUAGUUUUGUCUCUCGCCUUCUUCGUUUUCAUUGCUCUUAAACUUUUGUAUGGUAAACGAAAGAGCAAAUUUAACCUACCACCAAGUCCGGCUAGGCCACUACCGUUCAUUGGGCACCUUCACCUCCUAAAAAUGCCGCUUCACCGCACACUCCUCUCUCUCUCUCAGUCCCUAGGUGACGCCCCAAUCUUCUCCCUCCGCCCCGGAAACCGUCUCAUGGUUAUCGUCUCUUCCUACGCCAUCGCUGAAGAAUGCUUUACAAAAAACGACAUUGUUUUGGCCAAUAGGCCAGAGUUUAUUGUAAGGAAACAUAUUGAGUACAACUCCACCACUAUGACUAGUGCGCCUUAUGGUGACCACUGGCGAAACCUGCGCCGCAUCUGCACCCUUGAGAUCUUCUCGUCACAUAAGCUCAACGGCUUCUUAUCUGUCCGUCACGAUGAGACCCGACACUUGUUACUACGCCUCUCCAAAAACUCCCAACAUGUAUGUCAGCUUCUACAUAUAUAUCUUAACAUUAUAUAUAUCCAAAUAAGCUAGUAACCUAGGGAUUUGUAGUAUUGUCCACUCUAUCAUGACAUGGGUACGUAGUAGUAUGAAAAUGAAAAUCUGAGAGUUGACCAUUUGUUUAUGUGACUAUAAUCAGGGAUUUGCAAAGGUGGAGAUGAGAAAUUUGCUUUUUGAGUUGACUAUAAAUAACAUUUUUAGAAUGAUAGCCGGGAAACGAUUUUAUGGUGAGGGCACUGAGCAAGACGAGGUUGCUUCGCAAGUGAGAGACCUACUAGACGAGAUUAUGGCUAGUGCUGGCGCCGGGAAUGCAGCUGAUUACUUACCAAUCUUGGGAUGGAUCACAAAUUUUGAGAAACGCAUCAAGAAGUUAGCGAGUCGGCUUGAUAAGUUCUUACAGAGUCUUGUGGAUGAGAAACGUGCUGAUAAAGAAAAGGGUAACACUAUGAUUGAUCACUUGCUUUCUCUCCAAGAAACGCAACCUGAUUAUUACACAGACGUCAUUAUUAAAGGAAUCAUAGUUGUAAGUAUUUAGUAACCCUAAUAAUAUACUAAUCAAUCUUUAUGGUGGUUGAUGAUAACAUUUUGAACUUACAGGUUAUGAUAUUCGCUGGAUCUGAGACAAUAGCAUGGACUUUAGAAUGGGCAAUGUUGAAUUUGUUGAACCAUCAAGAAAUAUUGGAGAAAGCUAGG